UUGAACGCUGGCGGCAUGCUUUACACAUGCAAGUCGAACGGCAGCGGGGGCUUCGGCCUGCCGGCGAGUGGCGAACGGGUGAGUAAUGCAUCGGAACGUACCCAGUCGUGGGGGAUAACUACGCGAAAGCGUGGCUAAUACCGCAUACGCCCUGAGGGGGAAAGCGGGGGACCUUCGGGCCUCGCGCGAUUGGAGCGGCUGAUGUCGGAUUAGCUGGUUGGUGGGGUAAAGGCCUACCAAGGCGACGAUCCGUAGCUGGUCUGAGAGGAUGAUCAGCCACACUGGGACUGAGACACGGCCCAGACUCCUACGGGAGGCAGCAGUGGGGAAUUUUGGACAAUGGGCGCAAGCCUGAUCCAGCCAUGCCGCGUGAGUGAAGAAGGCCUUCGGGUUGUAAACCGCUUUUGUCAGGGAAGAAAUCUUUUGAGCUAAUACCUCAGAGGGAUGACGGUACCUGGAGAAUAAGCACCGGCUAACUACGU
RNAcentral lists this ribosomal RNA (482 nucleotides) under uncultured bacterium. RNAcentral describes it as "bacterial SSU rRNA". It matches the Rfam family "Bacterial small subunit ribosomal RNA", at positions 29 to 506 of the family's 1533-position model. The record is from RNAcentral.